UGGGGAAUUUUGGACAAUGGGCGAAAGCCUGAUCCAGCAAUGCCGCGUGUGUGAAGAAGGCCUUCGGGUUGUAAAGCACUUUUGUCCGGAAAGAAAUCCUUGGCUCUAAUACAGUCGGGGGAUGACGGUACCGGAAGAAUAAGCACCGGCUAACUACGUGCCAGCAGCCGCGGUAAUACGUAGGGUGCAAGCGUUAAUCGGAAUUACUGGGCGUAAAGCGUGCGCAGGCGGUUUGCUAAGACCGAUGUGAAAUCCCCGGGCUCAACCUGGGAACUGCAUUGGUGACUGGCAGGCUAGAGUAUGGCAGAGGGGGGUAGAAUUCCACGUGUAGCAGUGAAAUGCGUAGAGAUGUGGAGGAAUACCGAUGGCGAAGGCAGCCCCCCUGGGCCAAUACUGACGCUCAUGCACGAAAGCGUGGGGAGCAAAACAGGAUUAGAUACCCUGGUAGUCCACGCCCUAAACGAUGUCAACUAGUUGUUGGGGAUUCAUUUCCUUAGUAACGUAGCUAACGCGUGAAGUUGACCGCCUGGGGAGUACGGUCGCAAGAUUAAAACUUAAAGGAAUUGACGGGGUCAUAGCUGUUUCCU
RNAcentral lists this ribosomal RNA (587 nucleotides) under uncultured bacterium. RNAcentral's name for it is "partial 16S ribosomal RNA". It matches the Rfam family "Bacterial small subunit ribosomal RNA", at positions 355 to 1375 of the family's 1533-position model. The record is from RNAcentral.